This 1249-nucleotide long non-coding RNA is filed under the name Homo sapiens (human). Its description in RNAcentral is "HSALNT0251945". Lineage: Eukaryota; Metazoa; Chordata; Mammalia; Primates; Hominidae. The record is from RNAcentral.
AGAGGAGGAAGCAGGGCAGCCAAUUCUGAUUCCGGCCUCCUAUUAAUUUCAGGAAAGGAUAAAUCAGGGCGAUUCUUUCUUUUCAGAGUGACUGGCUCCCCCUCUGCCAACACGGUUGCUAAGCAAAGCCUGGGCCUCGCUGUGUGUGUGGGCAUGCACCUCCCGGCCUGCAAGUUCAUCAAGAGAGGGCAACGAGAAAGACUGGCAGGAAAACAGGCUCUGAGCAAGAUAGCUAGCUCCAAGGGGCUAAGACCCAAAGACCUGAACACACUGCAACAGAGCAAAGCACGCACUAGUGUUGGAUGAAGUCAGCCCGAGAGGUGAUGCUGGUGAAACUGCACCGGGACGGCUCUCUGAGGACCACUGACAUAAGGCACGGCCCUCCCUGACCCCAGACCAACCCAGGGGUUUUCACUCAGGAAUUGGCCACAACUACAGCACAACCAGCAGCCUCCUAGAGCUGAUUCACCUGCUCCUCCUCAGUUUCCCGAGCAGUGGAGAGAUACAGGACCCGGGCUCUGCCAGAUCCCAUUCUAUGCCCCUGUUUUACACAUGUGGAAACUGAGGUUCAUAGAGGUCACACAAUCUGACCAAGGUGAGAGUUAGCAAUCAAAGCAUGUUUGACUGGGUCACAGGAUCCCUGAGCAUGUGCUCUUUCUGCCACUCCGACUGUGGAACUGUCUACAGGCUGCCGGUGUGGGAGUGCGGGGUUGGGGGCGGGGAGUGGCACAGAGACAGAGGUCUAGAACCACAUCGUGUGAAGUAAUUGAGGGGUUCUGAGACUUGGACAGGGCCGUCAUAACUGCCCUCAACAUCUGAUGGGGCUGCAAUAGAAACAAGAGAGCAUGAUUAUUUUCUGGGCCCUAGAAGGCAAAACCAGGGCCCCUGGUGGGAAUUACAGGACAGCAGGGAUUGCCUCUCAUUCAGAAGCCUGACAGCCAGCACUUCCCAUCACAGAUGGGUCCACAGGAAGCCACCCGGCUGCUAGAGCUGCUUCCAGCUUUGGGAAAGAGGUUGUGCCAGGGACCUCUAGGCCUUCUUGGCUCCUUCUUAUAUCAUAUCUCUGCUUACACAUACAUGUGUUUUGUUUUUCUUAUUGUUGAGCUUUUUGUUGGUGUUGCUACUGUUUUUCUUUUGGCCUUAAGACCCGAAUAGGGCUGGGCGCAGUGGCCCACGCCUAGAAUCCCAGCACUUUGGAAGGUUGAGGCGAGUGGAUCAUUUGAGCCCGGGAGCUUGAGACCAGCCUGGG